UGCCACGUAUCGCUUUCUACUAAUCUUCUGAAAUUUCUAGAUUUCAUCACUUGUUUGUUAGAUUUCUGGAAACUCAAAUCUUUGAUUCGUGAAAUUAGGUUCCAGCCGGCUACUUUCAAGCUCCGCACACCAUCUUCGCUUCCCCUUGUGUUCAUUUGAUCUGAUUUCCCUCCACUUUCUCCCUCUUCUCCGUGUCAAAUUAUAAUGUGCUCGCUAAUAUAGCUUUACUCUUUUUUGUGCAGCCACCCAUAGUCGUGCUUGUGAGAGAAGUACAUUUUCAUUAUCCGUGAAUGAAUCCAGCUGCUUUGGUCCGGUUGCUUCGACUAUUCUUGCUCUCUCUGUGCUGACGAUGAGCUGAUCCACCAAGUAUACUUCAAGCUUUGAGGUGUGUUAUUAGUCCAGCUUAAAUAGCAUCUUAUCAAUCUAAUAUUCUGUCAUUUUGUAAGUUUAAGUAGGAGCUAAAAUCCUACGUAUGCGUUUAUAUUAUAACAAAAGUCAACAAUCAGUACAAAAAUUGUGAAGUUUCCACCAACAAAUAUAAAAAAGGAAAUAGGAAAAAUGAAAACAGGGGAAUAACAAAUAUCCCGGGAGAGAAUUGUAGGCUAUUGCAGAGUGAUAAAUCUCUGGGUGAAUAUUAGUGAGGAAAAAGAAAGAAGCUUAGCUUGGUUAAAGAGUAGAGGAGAUCCAGUGUAGGUAAAAUGGUUGAUUCAGCUAAUAAGGACAGACUUGCUUCUAUUACUAUUUGUCAUAUAUUAGGCUUUACAAUACUAUUUUUGUCUAUGCUCUGUACAUUUUAAAGUGCAUCAUGUUACUACAUGAGAAAUUGUGUUCGGAGUCAUGAUUUAUCUCUUAACAAAACUAUGCUAAUUGUUCAUUUACCUUGAUGUUAUAUUUGCUAUGUUAGAUAUUGGGACUGCAAACAAAUAAAGUGGUUCACAAGAGAAAAAAUAAAUUUGGUACUCUAUAGCCCCUUUUAGGGGGAUGAAUGCUAAUUUACCUAUGUUUAGUUCUCCCCGUAGUGAGAAGAAGUUUCUACAGUGGGUGAAGCGAGUGUACUUCCAGUUUUAUCGCGAAGAUACAUUUCUGAUUUUGCGAUAUUCCAACCCUAAAAUCUCUCACAGGGUAAGUAAGUUUAUGGUUUCCCAGCUCAGAAUUCUUUCUUCGUCGGCCGCAGCUGGUGAAACUAGUGUCCAUGAGGAAGUCAAUGUGGCUGACAUAGUAAAGCUUGUCCAGUGUCAUCUCAGCUAUGGCAAAAUGUUCCUCUUUCUGUUUGAAGUUAAAUGGACCAUGCGACCAUGCCUGGUGAUUUAAGAGGUGCUACCAGCAGCUGGUAGGAAGAUGACAAAGAAGCACAAGGCCAUUUGGAUAUCUGUACCUAUAUGUGUCUGUAUAGUCUUGACAAUCUGGGAGGAAAGGAACAACUGAUGGUUCGAAGAUACUGCAUCUGCAGACUGAAGUGUACAUGCACACUAGCAUAGAAAUGUUGGUACCUACUAGCUUUUUGGACCAACAAGAUGGACACGACUCAGAAACAUCUAUUGAGUUCCUCAAUGUUUUGGCACUUUUUGUAUGUUUUGUAAUCCAAAAGAUGUACAUAUGGAUCACCUACCUACUUGAGGUUAAUAAAGCUUUGAUUGUUUUUAUCAAACUGUUUGAAAUUUGGCAUUGCAGUGAUUGUGCAUACACUUCUCCUGAGACUAUAAAGCCUUAUUGUUGUUUUGACAAAAUAAUAUACAAGACAUCUCCAACUUCCACACCAUUGGGAUGUGCUGGCACGGGCCAUCUCUGUCUAGUAAUGGUUUUAAAAUAAAAAAUAAAAUAAAAAGGAUCUACCUUUCAUCUUAUUGAGAAAAAAAAAACUUUCUCAAUAAAAUAACUUAAAUUUUGUUGAUUGAAAAUGUUAUAUACUCUUUUAAAAAAAAUAAAAAAAUAAAAUAAACCACCCAGGAUAGAACUAGUGUGAA
Long non-coding RNA from Lycium barbarum (goji berry), 1964 nucleotides. RefSeq lists it as uncharacterized. The record is from RefSeq and is a predicted model, not a curated record. NCBI's taxonomy places the organism in Eukaryota, Viridiplantae, Streptophyta, Magnoliopsida, Solanales, Solanaceae. The transcript has 3 exons.